GACGAACGCUGGCGGCGUGCCUAACACAUGCAAGUCGAGCGGAGAUACUUAGGAGCUUGCUUUUGAGUAUCUUAGCGGCGGACGGGUGAGUAACGCGUGAGCAAUCUGCCUCUUUGAGGGGGAUAACACAGGGAAACCUGUGCUAAUACCGCAUAACAUAUUUUUGUGGCAUCACAGAGAUAUCAAAGGAGCAAUCCGCGAAGAGAUGAGCUCGCGUCCAAUUAGGUAGUUGGUGGGGUAACGGCCCACCAAGCCGACGAUUGGUAGCCGAACUGAGAGGUUGAACGGCCACAUUGGGACUGAGACACGGCCCAGACUCCUACGGGAGGCAGCAGUGGGGGAUAUUGCGCAAUGGGGGAAACCCUGACGCAGCAACGCCGCGUGAAGGAAGAAGGUCUUCGGAUUGUAAACUUUUGUCUUGUGGGAAGAUAAUGACGGUACCACAGGAGGAAGCCACGGCUAACUACGUGCCAGCAGCCGCGGUAAUUA
Molecule: ribosomal RNA, 489 nt
Filed under: uncultured bacterium
Lineage: Bacteria
Description: bacterial SSU rRNA
Rfam family: Bacterial small subunit ribosomal RNA
Source: RNAcentral